UCUGCGAUGGUGUAGUGGGUAACAUUCAAGCUUUGCAAAACUCGGCUGCAUGCUUGAGACCGAGGUUCGAUUCCUCGUCGCGGAA
Molecule: transfer RNA, 85 nt
Filed under: Trichoglossum hirsutum
Lineage: Eukaryota; Fungi; Ascomycota; Geoglossomycetes; Geoglossales; Geoglossaceae
Rfam family: tRNA
About the family: Transfer RNA (tRNA) molecules are approximately 80 nucleotides in length. Their secondary structure includes four short double-helical elements and three loops (D, anti-codon, and T loops).
Source: Rfam by way of RNAcentral